RNAcentral lists this small RNA (257 nucleotides) under uncultured Niallia sp. Its description in RNAcentral is "Bacillus sRNA ncr1575". It matches the Rfam family "Bacillus sRNA ncr1575". The record is from RNAcentral. Lineage: Bacteria; Bacillati; Bacillota; Bacilli; Caryophanales; Bacillaceae.
AGAACGAAAGGGAUGAUGGGUGAACGAUGAAGAACUAAUCUUAUUUUUCAAAAAUUUGAAUGAAAUAAAUUUCAAAUUAAACAAAAAUAGGAUUAGUCUGCCCAUUUCCAUAAAUCGCUUUUCUGUGUGUAUCUCUAAUGGUAUGCGCACAAUUAUUGAUCGAUAUGCACAGUUUUUUUUGUAUGCGAUCGCGAUUAUGAACGAGUAAAUAAUUAGGUAUGGCUAAUCCUUCCAACGAUAAUUGGGAGGAUUUUUUU